UUAAGAUUGAGCUGUGAUGGGGAAGCACUUUCGAGUGCGAAGUACCUGAUGUCACACUGCCAAGAAAAUCUUCUAGCGUUUAAUUAUAACCUACCCGUACCGCAAACCGACACAGGUAGUCGAGGCGAGUAGCCUCAGGUGAGCGAGAGAACUCUCGUUAAGGAACUCGGCAAAAUGACCCCGUAACUUCGGGAGAAGGGGUGCUCUACAUUUGUAGAGCCGCAGUGAAUAGGCCCAAGCGACUGUUUAUCAAAAACACAGCUCUCUGCUAAAUCGUAAGAUGAUGUAUAGGGGGUGACGCCUGCCCGGUGCUGGAAGGUUAAGAGGAGUGCUUAGCGUAAGCGAAGGUAUGAAUUGAAGCCCCAGUAAACGGCGGCCGUAACAAUAACGGUCCUAAGGUAGCGAAAUUCCUUGUCGGGUAAGUUCCGACCCGCACGAAAGGCGUAACGAUUUGGGCACUGUCUCAACGAGAGACUCGGUGAAAUUUUAGUACCUGUGAAGAUGCAGGUUACCCGCGACAGGACGGAAAGACCCCAUGGAGCUUUACUGCAAGUUGAUAUUGAGUAUCUGUUGCACAUGUACAGGAUAGGUAGGAGCCAUUGAUCUGAGGACGCUAGUUUUCAGUGAGGCGAUGUUGGGAUACUACCCUUGUGUCAUGGCUACUCUAACCCGCAUGCCUAAUCGGCAUGGGAGACAGUGUCUGCUGGGCAGUUUGACUGGGGCGGUCGCCUCCUAAAGAGUAACGGAGGCGCUCAAAGUUUCCCUCAGCAUGGUUGGAAAUCAUGCGUAGAGUGUAAAGGUAUAAGGGAGAUUGACUGCGAGACUUACAAGUCGAGCAGGUACGAAAGUAGGACUUAGUGAUCCGGUGGUACCGCAUGGAAGGGCCAUCGCUCAACGGAUAAAAGCUACCCUGGGGAUAACAGGCUUAUCUCCCCCAAGAGUUCACAUCGACGGGGAGGUUUGGCACCUCGAUGUCGGCUCGUCGCAUCCUGGGGCUGUAGUCGGUCCCAAGGGUUGGGCUGUUCGCCCAUUAAAGCGGCACGCGAGCUGGGUUCAGAACGUCGUGAGACAGUUCGGUCCCUAUCCGUCGCGGGCGUAGGAAAUUUGAGAGGAUCUGCCCUUAGUACGAGAGGACCGGGGUGGACUUACCGCUGGUGUACCAGUUGUCUUGCCAAAGGCAUCGCUGGGUAGCUAUGUAGGGAACGGAUAAACGCCGAAAGCAUCUAAGUGUGAAACCAACCUCAAGAUGAGAUUUCCCAUUCUUUAUGAAUUAAGAGCCCUGAGAGAUGAUCAGGUAGAUAGGCUAGAAGUGGAAGGACAGUGAUGUUUGGAGCGGACUAGUACUAAUAGCUCGAGGACUUUACCG
RNAcentral lists this ribosomal RNA (1366 nucleotides) under metagenome. RNAcentral's name for it is "bacterial LSU rRNA". It matches the Rfam family "Bacterial large subunit ribosomal RNA", at positions 1550 to 2925 of the family's 2925-position model. The record is from RNAcentral.